RNAcentral lists this ribosomal RNA (378 nucleotides) under uncultured eukaryote. Its description in RNAcentral is "partial 18S ribosomal RNA". It matches the Rfam family "Eukaryotic small subunit ribosomal RNA", at positions 592 to 976 of the family's 1831-position model. The record is from RNAcentral.
CAAUAGCGUAUAUUUAAGUUGUUGCAGUUAAAAAGCUCGUAGUUGGAUUUCGGGUGUGAACGACCGGUCCGUCUUUGAUGUGUACUGGUUGGUUGCGCCUUAUUGUCGAGGACGUGGUUCUAGCUUUCAUUAGCCGGGACACGGAGUCGGCAGCGUUACUUUGAGAAAAUUAGAGUGUUCAAAGCAGGCUAUCGCUCUGAAUACUACAGCAUGGAAUAACACGAUAGGACUCCGAGCCUAUUCUGUUGGUCUUCGGGACCGGAGUAAUGAUUAAGAGGGACAGUUGGGGGCAUUCGUAUUCCGAUGUCAGAGGUGAAAUUCUUGGAUUAUCGGAAGACGAGCAUCUGCGAAAGCACUUGCCAAGGAUGUUUUCAUUAA